MicroRNA precursor from Piliocolobus tephrosceles (Ugandan red Colobus), 64 nucleotides. The record is from Ensembl. NCBI's taxonomy places the organism in Eukaryota, Metazoa, Chordata, Mammalia, Primates, Cercopithecidae.
GGCUCAGUAGCCAGUGUAGAUCCUGUCUUUCGUAAUCAGCAGCUACAUCUGGCUACUGGGUCUC